AUAAGCUAAGUAGAGAUAAAAUUCUUUUAUAUAGUUUGGAAUAUCGAUUGCAAAGGCAAUUUUCUAACAAAUUAACCUUAGUUUUAAUAAACUAAAUAACUGACCCUUUUUAUUGCUAAAGUUUGAGUAGCAAAAAGAAUUAGAGACUCUUGUAGUUCAAACCUUCACCUAUGGCGAU
Molecule: ribosomal RNA, 178 nt
Filed under: Strombidinopsis acuminata
Lineage: Eukaryota; Ciliophora; Spirotrichea; Choreotrichida; Strombidinopsidae
Description: partial Bacterial small subunit ribosomal RNA
Source: RNAcentral